UGGGGAAUUUUGCGCAAUGGGGGCAACCCUGACGCAGCAACGCCGCGUGCGGGACGACGGCCUUCGGGUUGUAAACCGCUUUCAGCAGGGCAGAAAUUCGACGGUACCUGCAGAAGAAGCUCCGGCUAACUACGUGCCAGCAGCCGCGGUAAUAAGUAGGGAGCGAGCGUUAUCCGGAUUCAUUUGGCGUAAAGAGCGCGUAGGCGGCCUCUCAAGCGGGAUCUCUAAUCCGAGGGCUCAACCCCCGGCCGGAUCCCGAACUGGGAGGCUCGAGUUCGGUAGAGGCAGGCGGAGUUCCCGGUGUAGCGGUGGAAUGCGCGGAUAUCGGGAAGAACACCGAUGGCGAAGGCAGCCUGCUGGGCCGCAACUGACGCUGAGGCGCGAAAGCUAGGGGAGCGAACAGG
Molecule: ribosomal RNA, 404 nt
Filed under: bacterium
Lineage: Bacteria
Description: partial 16S ribosomal RNA
Rfam family: Bacterial small subunit ribosomal RNA
Source: RNAcentral